This 330-nucleotide ribosomal RNA is filed under the name Capitophorus elaeagni. RNAcentral describes it as "partial 12S ribosomal RNA". The record is from RNAcentral. Lineage: Eukaryota; Metazoa; Arthropoda; Insecta; Hemiptera; Aphididae.
UAGAUACCCUAUUAUAAAAAUUUAAAUUAAUUUGCUAAAAAAUUAAUAGUUAAGUUCUUUAAAUUUAAAAAAUUUGGCGGUAUUUUAAUCUUAUUAGAGGAACCUGUUUUUUAAUUGAUAAUCCACGAUUAAUUUUACUUAUUUUAUUAAUUCAUAUAUCGCUGUCAUGAAUAUAUUAAAAAAUUAAUUUUCUUUAAUUAUUAUUAUAAUUUAUGUUAAGUCAAGAUGUGGUUUAUAAAUAAGCAAAUAAUGGGUUACAUUAAAUUUUAUUUUUGGAUUUUAAAUGAAAAUUAAGAUGAAAUUGGAUUUAAUAGUAAAUUUAUUUAUUUA